CAGGACCUCACUAAGUUGCCAAGGCUGGCCUUGAACUUGCCAUUCUCGGGCCUCAGCCUACUACGUUGCUAUGAUUACAGGUGUGCACCAUCAUGCCCAGCUAACUGACAAUUCUCAGGAGCAAUGGUCAGGUGUAUGAUGGGAUGUCUCUCUAUUGAGACUCAUCUGAUGUUUUCCUCAUGAUUAGACAAAGUGUGGGUUUGGGAAGGGAAGAUCACAGAGGUAAAGAGCUGUUGUCAUCACGUCAUGUCAAGAGUAAACACUGUCGGUGCCAUUUGUCACUGUUGAUGUUGAGAUCAGUCACAUGGUUUCCAUCCUUCCACGGCCCUCAAGCAGCAUGCUUCCUGUACCUGGCAAUUGGAGCUGGGCUCUUUCUGCUCUUAAGACAAACACAUUGGCCUGUUGAUCAGCCCUCUCUGGCUGUCCUCACUGUCCCAGGUCUUGCAAGUCGUGGAGUAGAUCAGAGACCUUCCAGCUAGAACCUUGUAAGAGAGCAUGAAACAGAAUGUUUUGUGUGCCAGGUCAUUGUAACCGACAGUUUGCAGGUACUCUGAAGAAGAGUCUCCAGGUGUCUCCAGGCUGUCAUGGUGGUUGGACGGAGGGAGCAUUUCUCAAUUUUGGCUGCAUGUUAGAAUUAGCGAGGGAGAUUCUUAAAAGUUACUGAUGCCUUGGUCACAUGUCCCUGAAUUUAGAAUUUAAUGGAGCUUAGUUGAUUCCCAGAUAUCUUUCCUUUGUUUUUCUUUUUGUUUUUCCUUUUCUUUUCUUUUUUCUUAAAUCUCUCCACGUGAUCCUAAGGUGUAG
This 801-nucleotide long non-coding RNA is filed under the name Marmota monax (woodchuck). The record is from RNAcentral. Lineage: Eukaryota; Metazoa; Chordata; Mammalia; Rodentia; Sciuridae.